RNAcentral lists this unclassified non-coding RNA (250 nucleotides) under Hevea brasiliensis (rubber tree). Lineage: Eukaryota; Viridiplantae; Streptophyta; Magnoliopsida; Malpighiales; Euphorbiaceae. The record is from RNAcentral.
GGGGUACCAUCAGCUCUCUUCUUAUCCAGAUCUAUGAGGAUGUUUUCACUUUUUAUAUCACGAUGUAUGAUAUGCCUAGAAUGCAGCUCGGUCAAUGCACUUGCUACAUCGCGGGCAAUAAAUACCGACAGCUCAAUUGGAAGAUGCUUCUCACCAGCAUUAGAUAGCUUAUCUACAUGUUUCUUUAGUGAACCCCCCUUAAUAUGCUCCAUCAAAAUGGCAGACUGCAAUGUACGACUUUCUGAACUGC